UGGUGGAGUGAUUUGUCUGGUUAAUUCCGAUAACGAGCGAGACCUCAACCUACUAAUUAGUUAGACAAAUCUUCGGAUUUGCUUUCUGGCUUCUUAGAGGGACUAUCGGUUUUUAGCCGAUGGAGGUUUGAGGCAAUAACA
RNAcentral lists this ribosomal RNA (141 nucleotides) under uncultured eukaryote. RNAcentral describes it as "partial 18S ribosomal RNA". It matches the Rfam family "Eukaryotic small subunit ribosomal RNA", at positions 1299 to 1458 of the family's 1831-position model. The record is from RNAcentral.